AAUAUUGAUGGUUGACCAGGGCUCCCUGAGUUCUACAGGCCUCUGUUAUGGGGGUGAUGUUAUGGCACCCUGGUGCUGAGAGAUU
Molecule: small nucleolar RNA, 85 nt
Organism: Bison bison bison
Lineage: Eukaryota; Metazoa; Chordata; Mammalia; Artiodactyla; Bovidae
Source: Ensembl